GUGAGGAAUAUUGGUCAAUGGGCGGGAGCCUGAACCAGCCAAGUCGCGUGAAGGAAGAAGGAUCUAUGGUUCGUAAACUUCUUUUGCAGGGGAAUAAAGUGCAGGACGUGUCCUGUUUUGUAUGUACCCUGAGAAUAAGGAUCGGCUAACUCCGUGCCAGCAGCCGCGGUAAUACGGGGGAUCCGAGCGUUAUCCGGAUUUAUUGGGUUUAAAGGGUGCGUAGGUGGUUUGAUAAGUCAGCGGUGAAAGUUUGCAGCUUAACUGUAAAAAUGCCGUUGAAACUGUCGGACUUGAGUGUAAAUGAGGUAGGCGGAAUGCGUGGUGUAGCGGUGAAAUGCAUAGAUAUCACGCAGAACUCCGAUUGCGAAGGCAGCUUACUAAGCUACAACUGACACUGAAGCACGAAAGCGUGGGGAUCAAACAGGAUUAGAUACCCUGGUAGUCC
Molecule: ribosomal RNA, 445 nt
Filed under: uncultured bacterium
Lineage: Bacteria
Description: partial 16S ribosomal RNA
Rfam family: Bacterial small subunit ribosomal RNA
Source: RNAcentral